UAACACAUGCAAGUCGAACGCGAAAGGGCGUUUCGGUGCCUGAGUAGAAUGGCGCACGGGUGAGUAACACGUAGACAACGUGCCUUCCGGUUCGGGACAACCUUUAGAAAGAAGGGAUAAUAGCAGGAUGACAUCAAGGCCUCGUAUGGGACUUUGUUGAAAGGGCCUACCUACCGGAAGAGGGGUGUUCGGGACAUUAGCUUGUUGGUGGGGUAAUGGCUAGCCAAGGCGAUGAUGUCUAGCGGGUAGUGAGAGGAUGAUCCGCACAUCACCUGGAUACCUGAGACACGGUCCCAGACUGAUAGAGGGAGAGCACUCAGUGGGGAAUUUUGGGCAAUGGGAGAAAGCUAGAUUCAGCAAGGUCAGUGUGGAUGAAGAAGGCAUGUGGGUAGUAAAGCCUUAUUCUGGGGGAAGAUCGGAGUCGGUACCGCAGGAAUAAGCAUCGGUUAACUCGGAGCCAGCAGCC
RNAcentral lists this ribosomal RNA (466 nucleotides) under uncultured bacterium. RNAcentral describes it as "bacterial SSU rRNA". It matches the Rfam family "Bacterial small subunit ribosomal RNA", at positions 49 to 516 of the family's 1533-position model. The record is from RNAcentral.